UUACGGCCACAUCAAGGUAAAACACCGGUUCCGUACGAUCUCCAAAGGUAAGGAAGAUCGAGUCUGGUCAGUACCUAGAUGGGUAACGGCUUGGGAAUAUCAGUUGCCGUAAG
Non-coding RNA from Acanthosepion pharaonis, 113 nucleotides. NCBI's taxonomy places the organism in Eukaryota, Metazoa, Mollusca, Cephalopoda, Sepiida, Sepiidae. The record is from the annotation of a GenBank genome assembly.